AGAGUUUGAUCAUGGCUCAGGAUGAACGCUAGCGGCAGGCCUAAUACAUGCAAGUCGAGGGGCAUCACAGGUAGCAAUACUGGGUGGCGACCGGCAAACGGGUGCGGAACACGUACGGAACCUUCCUUCGAGCGGGGAAUAGCCCAGAGAAAUUUGGAUUAAUACCCCAUAAGAAUGUGGAUUGGCAUCAAUCAGCAUUU
This 200-nucleotide ribosomal RNA is filed under the name uncultured bacterium. RNAcentral's name for it is "partial 16S ribosomal RNA". It matches the Rfam family "Bacterial small subunit ribosomal RNA", at positions 8 to 202 of the family's 1533-position model. The record is from RNAcentral.